AUCGAGCUGACGAGUCCCAAAUAGAACGAAACGCGUGUCCUGGAU
Molecule: non-coding RNA, 45 nt
Filed under: Schistosoma mansoni
Lineage: Eukaryota; Metazoa; Platyhelminthes; Trematoda; Strigeidida; Schistosomatidae
Source: RNAcentral